Molecule: long non-coding RNA, 386 nt
Organism: Micropterus dolomieu (smallmouth bass)
Lineage: Eukaryota; Metazoa; Chordata; Actinopteri; Centrarchiformes; Centrarchidae
Exons: 3
Source: RefSeq, a predicted model, not a curated record
CAUAUAUUUUGCGAUAUCCUGAUGAUGUGAUAACUGACCAAGGAGUUGAUUUCUUGGUCAUCCGUGUUAAGUUACUUUUUAAAAGCUGGAUCCAGACCCGCUGUAACUUUUUGAUGGCUUGGGUUAGGGCAGUGUGGCAAGAAAGGAAAAGUCAAGAAGAAGGGACGGUGCCAGACAGCUGGGUAGACAGAAAAAAUGUUACUGUUCUGGCCAAAUAUUGCAAAUGCAACAUGACAUUUGUAGGAACGCCGCAAACCAUCUGAGGGUUGGAGAAAGUUUCCUCUUCUGAAAGAGAAGAUGAGAUCUUAUGACUUUAAAGAAUGUGACAACUGCGACUUCACAAGUAGUACAGAAGCUGAAGAAGGGGCACUGGAAGCAAAAAGAAG